Molecule: unclassified non-coding RNA, 286 nt
Filed under: uncultured fungus
Lineage: Eukaryota; Fungi
Description: sequence contains ITS1
Rfam family: 5.8S ribosomal RNA (bases 1-105)
Source: RNAcentral
GAAUUGCGAUAAGUAAUGUGAAUCGUAAGGUUCAGUGAAUCAUCAAAUCUUUGAACGCAAACGGCGCUCCCUGGUACUCCGGAGAGCAUACCUGUUUGAGCAUCAACAUUGACCUCACAUCCUAGAUGUGGUGAAUGAGCGUCAUGCUAACCGCAUGUUGCUUGAAAAGCAUAGCUGGAAGCAGCCAACCAACGGUGGGGUUUCGGCCUAAGCCUUGGACUGGAUGUUUCUCAACAGCUUCAUCUAACUUGAUCUCAAAUCAGGUAAGACUACCCGCUGAAUUGAA